CAUAUCAAUAAGCGGAGGAAAAGAAACUAACAAGGAUUCCCCUAGUAACUGCGAGUGAAGCGGGAAAAGCUCAAAUUUAAAAUCUGGCGGUCUUUGGCUGUCCGAGUUGUAAUCUAGAGAAGCAUUAUCCGCGCUGGACCGUGUACAAGUCUCCUGGAAUGGAGCGUCAUAGAGGGUGAGAAUCCCGUCUUUGACACGGACUGCCAGGGCUUUGUGAUGUGCUCUCAAAGAGUCGAGUUGUUUGGGAAUGCAGCUCAAAAUGGGUGGUAAAUUCCAUCUAAAGCUAAAUAUUGGCGAGAGACCGAUAGCGAACAAGUACCGUGAGGGAAAGAUGAAAAGAACUUUGGAAAGAGAGUUAAACAGUACGUGAAAUUGCUGAAAGGGAAACGCUUGAAGUCAGUCGCGUUAGCCAGGGAUCAACCUUGCUUUUGCUUGGUGUACUUUCUGGUUGACGGGUCAGCAUCAAUUUUGACUAUUGGAAAAAGAUUAGGGGAAUGUGGCAUCUUCGGAUGUGUUAUAGCCCUUGGUUGCAUACAAUGGUUGGGAUUGAGGAACUCAGCACGCCGCAAGGCCGGGUUUUUAACCACGUACGUGCUUAGGAUGCUGGCAUAAUGGCUUUAAUCGACCCGUCUUGAAACACGGACCAAGGAGUCUAACAUGCCUGCGAGUGUUUGGGUGGAAAACCCGAGCGCGUAAUGAAAGUGAAAGUUGAGAUCCCUGUCGUGGGGAGCAUCGACGCCUGGACCAGACCUUUUGUGACGGUUCCACGGUAGAGCAUGUAUGUUGGGACCCGAAAGAUGGUGAACUAUGCCUGAAUAGGGUGAAGCCAGAGGAAACUCUGGUGGAGGCUCGUAGCGAUUCUGACGUGCAAAUCGAUCGUCAAAUUUGGGUAUAGGGGCGAAAGACUAAUCGAACCAUCUAGUAGCUGGUUCCUGCC
RNAcentral lists this ribosomal RNA (937 nucleotides) under Thaxterogaster melleomitis. Its description in RNAcentral is "partial large subunit ribosomal RNA". It matches the Rfam family "Eukaryotic large subunit ribosomal RNA", at positions 39 to 962 of the family's 3401-position model. The record is from RNAcentral. Lineage: Eukaryota; Fungi; Basidiomycota; Agaricomycetes; Agaricales; Cortinariaceae.